GUGAACGCUGGCGGUAGGCCUAACACAUGCCAGUCGAACGGCAGCACAGUAAGAGCUUGCUCUUACGGGUGGCGAGUGGCGGACGGGUGAGGAAUACAUCGGAAUCUACUUUUUCGUGGGGGAUAACGUAGGGAAACUUACGCUAAUACCGCAUACGACCUACGGGUGAAAGCAGGGGAUCUUCGGACCUUGCGCGAUUGAAUGAGCCGAUGUCGGAUUAGCUAGUUGGCGGGGUAAAGGCCCACCAAGGCGACGAUCCGUAGCUGGUCUGAGAGGAUGAUCAGCCACACUGGAACUGAGACACGGUCCAGACUCCUACGGGAGGCCGCAGUGGGGAAUAUUGGACAAUGGGCGCAAGCCUGAUCCAGCCAUACCGCGUGGGUGAAGAAGGCCUUCGGGUUGUAAAGCCCUUUUGUUGGGAAAGAAAAGCAGCAGGUUAAUACCCCGCUGUUCUGACGGUACCCAAAGAAUAAGCACCGGCUAACUUCGUG
This 491-nucleotide ribosomal RNA is filed under the name uncultured bacterium. RNAcentral's name for it is "partial 16S ribosomal RNA". It matches the Rfam family "Bacterial small subunit ribosomal RNA", at positions 29 to 507 of the family's 1533-position model. The record is from RNAcentral.